This is a long non-coding RNA of Lolium perenne, 384 nucleotides long. RefSeq lists it as uncharacterized. The record is from RefSeq and is a predicted model, not a curated record. Lineage: Eukaryota; Viridiplantae; Streptophyta; Magnoliopsida; Poales; Poaceae.
UUUUCCAACAUUUGGCAUAACCUCCAACAAAAUACAACCUAGCUUGUUCUCCAGCAACAAGAAAAGAUGAGGUCGUUCCACAAGAUGAUGCUACUAGCACUUGUCCUUGCUGCACUAUCCUCAGAUGUGUUGGUCAAGGUGACAGCGAAUGGUGGUGCCCCGAUAACCCGUGAAGACUGCAAGCAACUUCCGGUCGCUCCUGGGCCAUGCGAACCAAGGACUUGUCUACAUGACUGUCAAGCCAACAUAGGUCCCAAUGCGGUUGGUGAGUGUGUUUCAGGAGGAUGUCAGUGCACAUAUUGUACUACACAUGUACGGAAUUAGGCAGUAUCCGCUGUUCCAUUCUUUCUUGAAUUAAUAACAAUGACGAUAUUAUAUUCAUAA